Trichonephila clavata is the source of this 73-nucleotide non-coding RNA. The record is from the annotation of a GenBank genome assembly. NCBI's taxonomy places the organism in Eukaryota, Metazoa, Arthropoda, Arachnida, Araneae, Nephilidae.
GUCCCUGUAGCGUAAUGGAUAGCGCGUUAGACUUCUAAUCCAAAGGCCGUGAAUUUGAAUUCCACCUGGGAUA